RNAcentral lists this ribosomal RNA (487 nucleotides) under uncultured Anaerotruncus sp. RNAcentral describes it as "partial 16S ribosomal RNA". The record is from RNAcentral. Lineage: Bacteria; Bacillati; Bacillota; Clostridia; Eubacteriales; Oscillospiraceae.
CACGUAGUUAGCCGGAGCUUCCUCUUUGGGUACCGUCUCUAUUCUUCCCCAAAGACAGAGGUUUACAAUCCGAAGACCGUCCUCCCUCACGCGGCGUCGCUGCAUCAGGCUUUCGCCCAUUGUGCAAUAUCCCCCACUGCUGCCUCCCGUAGGAGUCUGGGCCGUGUCUCAGUCCCAAUGUGGCCGUUCAACCUCUCAGUCCGGCUACCGAUCGUUGACUAGGUGGGCCGUUACCCCGCCUACUAUCUAAUCGGCCGCGAGCCCAUCUUUCAGCAGAUUUCUCUUUUGGUUGUAAAUGGAUGCCCUUUUACAACGUUAUGCGGUAUUAGCAGUCGUUUCCAACUGUUAUCCCCUCUGAAAGGCAGGUUGCUCACGUGUACUCACCCGUCGCCACUAAACCAUUCCAAAGUAACUCUAAAAUGGUCCCGUUCGACUUGCAUGUGUUAGGCGCGCCGCCAGCGUUCGUCCUGAGCCAGGAUCAAACUCU